RNAcentral lists this ribosomal RNA (487 nucleotides) under uncultured bacterium. RNAcentral's name for it is "bacterial SSU rRNA". It matches the Rfam family "Bacterial small subunit ribosomal RNA", at positions 28 to 507 of the family's 1533-position model. The record is from RNAcentral.
GAUGAACGCUAGCGACAGGCUUAACACAUGCAAGUCGAGGGGCAGCGAGGGCGUAGCAAUACGCCUGUCGGCGACCGGCGCACAGGUGAGUAACACGUAUGCGACCUGCCCCCUACAGGGGUAUAACCCGUAGAAAUGCGGACUAAUCCCCCAUAGUCCUGGGUGCUGCAUGGCAUUCAGGGGAAAGGCCAGCCGGUAGGGGAUGGGCAUGCGGCGCAUUAGCUAGUUGGCGGGGCAACGGCCCACCAAGGCGACGAUGCGUAGGGGUUCUGAGAGGAAGGUCCCCCCACACUGGUACUGAGACACGGACCAGACUCCUACGGGAGGCAGCAGUGAGGAAUAUUGGUCAAUGGGCGAGAGCCUGAACCAGCCAAGUAGCGUGCAGGAUGACGGCCCUAUGGGUUGUAAACUGCUUUUAUAAGGGAUAAAGUGAGAGUCGUGACUCUUUUUGCAUGUACCUUAUGAAUAAGGACCGGCUAAUUCCGUG